UUAGCCAUAUGCUCCUAGCCUUAGAAGCACCUCAGGAACUAUCCGCUCUCUUCUCUCAAUCUAAAAUCAAUUUUGGCUCAAAAUCUCAAAUUGGGUUUGGCCAAAAAUUUCUCAAGUCCGCUCCCUCCACCCCAAGACUCAAAAGGAGCUAUGUAUGGAGAGUAUUGGAGAUUUAGAAGGAAAAUAUUUUGGCGAUACUUGGAGACGAAAAUCACUGAGGCUUUUGCUGCCGCUGAGGCUUUUUCUGCUGAGAUUCACAUAACUCGUUUUCUACAAAUUCAAGGUUUGUGAUAACUCAAUGGACGAUCUCCAACAAUCACUAUCACCUAUUUUAGUUGUUCACACAAAGAAGGUUAACAUAAUCAAGAAGACUGGAGUUAGUGAAUGUCUCGACCCAAAACCUCACCCGUUGUGAUGGCGCAUAUCUCGAUUACAGGCAAGACGACAACCUCAAUAACCCACAGUUUCUUUUAUAUUUAAAAUUAUAAUAUUUAAACACAAUUCACAAGUCUCGCAAAUACUGAUACAAACAUUAGAAAUAAACACACUCCCAAAAUUCGGUGUCACUAAGUACAUGAGUAUCUAUACAUUAUAAGUCUGGAAAACACAGUCUAUAAUAGUCUAAGACUAAAUACAGUAAACAAAGAGAUAGGGAAGGAGAUACAAGGUCUGUGAAACAUGGCAGCUACCUCUGAGUCUCCGAAAAAUCAACUGUGUGAAAGAAUCAACACCC
Nicotiana tabacum (common tobacco) is the source of this 733-nucleotide long non-coding RNA. RefSeq lists it as uncharacterized. The record is from RefSeq and is a predicted model, not a curated record. Lineage: Eukaryota; Viridiplantae; Streptophyta; Magnoliopsida; Solanales; Solanaceae.